CAGGAGGCAGAGGCAGAUGGAUCUCUUGAGUUUGAGAGCAGCCUGGUCUACAGAGAGAGUUCCAGGACAGCCAGGGCUACACGGAGAAACUCAAUCUCGGAAACAAAACAAACAAAAUCAAAGGAUCUGGAAGUUUUCCUGAGGCGUAAAGGGUAACAGACUCAUGCAGUAGAACUAUCCCGAGACUAUGCUGUGUGUGGAGGGAAGACUGAAGGAGGGGAGCCAAACAGAAACGCGGUGCCUGGAAUGCAGUGAAUAUGGGUGAUACUAUCACAUACGAUGGGGCCAAGACUGAGCAAAAAGGCUACAGCUGUCCAGUGUGAUCUGAGUGUCCUGAGCUGCCCAGAUGCACUCUCUGCGUCCUGACGUGUGUAAGCAGCCUUGAUCUCCUACCAUGCCGGUCAAAGCUUGUCACUGUGUCUUCCUCACUGUGACAGACUGUAACCUCAAGCUGUGAGCCAAAAUGAACCUGCCACCCCUUCAGUUGCUUCCUGUCAGGCUUCAUUUUAGACGCAGCACUGACGUUUCCUGGGCCUCGUCACAGGACUGUAAAAGGAUUGGGAAGAAGCCCACAGUUGCUCAGCACCUACUGCCCAGCCAUGGCCGGGUGAGAGCACCUGACCCGCUGUAUGUACUCCAAGUCACAGGGAGGGCAUCAA
Long non-coding RNA from Mesocricetus auratus (golden hamster), 659 nucleotides. RefSeq lists it as uncharacterized. The record is from RefSeq and is a predicted model, not a curated record. The transcript has 3 exons. NCBI's taxonomy places the organism in Eukaryota, Metazoa, Chordata, Mammalia, Rodentia, Cricetidae.